This 1429-nucleotide ribosomal RNA is filed under the name metagenome. RNAcentral's name for it is "bacterial SSU rRNA". It matches the Rfam family "Archaeal small subunit ribosomal RNA". The record is from RNAcentral.
GUUGAUCCUGCGGGAGGCUGCUGCUAUUGGGAUUCGGAUAAACCAUGCAAGUCAGGGCUCUUCGGAGUCCGGCGAAAUGCUCAGUAACACGUCGAUAAUUUGCCCUUAGAUCCAGGAUAACCCCGGAAAACUGAGGCUAAAACUGAAUAGGAUAUAUGUUCUGAAAUGUCAUAUAUUUGAAAUGCAAAGUCUAAGGAUAAGUCGGCGGUUGAUUAGGUUGUUGGUGGGGUAAAGGCCCACCAAGCCAAAGAUCAAUAGGGGCCUUGAGAGAGGUUGCCCCGAGAAGGGAACUGAGACACUGUCCCUAGCCCUACGGGGUGCAGCAGGUACGAAAACUUUACAAUACACUAACGUGUGAUAAGGGAAUCCCAAGUGCCAAUGUUAUACAUUGGCUUUUUUCAAGGGUAAAAAUCUUGAAGAAUAAGUGGUGGGUAAGACUGGUGCCAGCCGCCGCGGUAACACCAGCGCCACGAGUGGGGGCCGCGAUUAUUGGGCCUAAAGCGUUCGUAGCCGGCUUAAUAAAUCUCUUGUGAAAUCGUUGAGCUUAACUUAACGGCAUGCAGGGGACACUAUUAAGCUUGAGACCAGGAGGAGUUAGAAGUAUUCCAUGGGGAGCGGUAAAAUGUUAUAAUCCAUGGAAGACUACCCGUGGCGAAGGCGUCUAACUAGAAUGGAUCCGACGGUGAGGAACGAAAGCCAGGGGAGCAAACCGGAUUAGAUACCCGAGUAGUCCUGGCUGUAAACGCUGCGAGCUAGGUGUUACAUAUUCUACGAGAAUAUGUAGUGUCGAAAUGAAGAUGUUAAGCUCGCCGCCUGGGAAGUAUGGUCGCAAGACUGAAACUUAAAGGAAUUGGCGGGGGAGCACCACAAGGGGUGCGGCGUGCGGUUUAAUUGAACUCAACGCCGGAAAUUUUACCAAGGGCGACGGCAGGAUGAAAGUCAGGCUAAAGACCUUACUCAACGAGCCGAGAGGAGGUGCAUGGCCGCCGUCAGCUCGUGCUGUAAAGUGUCCUCUUAAGUGAGGCAACGAGCGAGACCUGUACUUACAAUUGCCAUCGAUUGGCUUGCCGAGAUCGGGCACAUUGUGAGAACUGCCUUCGAAAGGAGGAGGAAGGUGCAGGCUACGGUAGGUCUGUAUGCCCCGAAUCCCUUGGGCAACACGCGCGCAACAAUGGUAAGGACAAUGGGAUACAACUCCGUAAGGAGAAGUUAAUCCUCUAAACCUUGCCUUAGUUCAGAUUGAGGGCUGUAACUCGCCCUCAUGACGUUGGAAUCCCUAGUAAUCGGAAGUCAACAUCCUCCGGUGAAUAUGUCCCUGCUCCUUGCACACACCGCCCGUCAAACCAUCCGAGCAGGGUUUAGGUGAGGAUUAGUUUUUUGAUUAAUACGAAUCUAAGCUCAGUGAGGAGGGUUAAGUCGUCACAAGGUA